GACGAACGCUGGCGGCGCGCCUAACACAUGCAAGUCGAACGAGGUCUUUUAGAAAAGCUUGCUUUUCUGGCUGACCUAGUGGCGGACGGGUGAGUAACACGUGAGCAACCUGCCCUGGAGUGGGGGAUAACACCUGGAAACGGGUGCUAAUACCGCAUAACAUCCCGAUAUGGCAUCAUAUUGGGAUCAAAGGAGUAAUCCGCUUUGGGAUGGGCUCGCGCCCGAUUAGAUAGUUGGUGGGGUAAUGGCCUACCAAGUCUGCGAUCGGUAGCCGGACUGAGAGGUUGAUCGGCCACAUUGGGACUGAGACACGGCCCAGACUCCUACGGGAGGCAGCAGUGGGGGAUAUUGCACAAUGGGGGAAACCCUGAUGCAGCGACGCCGCGUGAGUGAAGACGGCCUUCGGGUUGUAAAGCUCUGUUAUGGGGGACGAACACAAUGACGGUACCCCAUCAGAAAGCCACGGCUAACUACGUGCCAGCCGCCGCCGUAACAC
This 496-nucleotide ribosomal RNA is filed under the name uncultured bacterium. RNAcentral describes it as "bacterial SSU rRNA". It matches the Rfam family "Bacterial small subunit ribosomal RNA", at positions 28 to 526 of the family's 1533-position model. The record is from RNAcentral.